GGGCUGGUAGCAUAAUUGGGAAUGCGCUUCAUUUGCAAUGAAGAAGAUUGGGUUCAAAUCCCACCAUGUCCA
RNAcentral lists this transfer RNA (72 nucleotides) under Clostridia bacterium. RNAcentral's name for it is "tRNA-Ala". It matches the Rfam family "tRNA". From Rfam's summary of the family: Transfer RNA (tRNA) molecules are approximately 80 nucleotides in length. Their secondary structure includes four short double-helical elements and three loops (D, anti-codon, and T loops). Further hydrogen bonds mediate the characteristic L-shaped molecular structure. tRNAs have two regions of fundamental functional importance: the anti-codon, which is responsible for specific mRNA codon recognition, and the 3' end, to which the tRNAs corresponding amino acid is attached (by aminoacyl-tRNA synthetases). tRNAs cope with the degeneracy of the genetic code in two manners: having more than one tRNA (with a specific anti-codon) for a particular amino acid; and 'wobble' base-pairing, i.e. permitting non-standard base-pairing at the 3rd anti-codon position. Lineage: Bacteria; Bacillati; Bacillota; Clostridia. The record is from RNAcentral.